CCUGAUCCAGCCAUGCCGCGUGAGUGAUGAAGGCCUUAGGGUCGUAAAGCUCUUUCGCCUGUGAAGAUAAUGACUGUAGCAGGUAAAGAAACCCCGGCUAACUCCGUGCCAGCAGCCGCGGUAAUACGGAGGGGGUUAGCGUUGUUCGGAAUUACUGGGCGUAAAGCGCGCGUAAGCGGACUGGAAAGUUGGGGGUGAAAUCCCAGGGCUCAACCCUGGAACUGCCUCCAAAACUAUCAGUCUAGAGUUCGAUAGAGGUGAGUGGAAUUCCGAGUGAAAGGUGAAAUUCAUAUAUUUCGGAGGAACACCAGUGGCGAAGGCGGCUCACUGGCUCGAUACUGACGCUGAGGUGCGAAAGUGUGGGGAGCAAACAGGAUUAGAUACCCUGGUAGUCCACACCGUAAACGAUGAAUGCCAGUCGUCGGGUAGCAUGCUAUUCGGUGACACACCUAACGGAUUAAGCAUUCCGCCUGGGGAGUACGGUCGCAAGAUUAAAACUCA
RNAcentral lists this ribosomal RNA (501 nucleotides) under uncultured marine bacterium. RNAcentral's name for it is "bacterial SSU rRNA". It matches the Rfam family "Bacterial small subunit ribosomal RNA", at positions 382 to 903 of the family's 1533-position model. The record is from RNAcentral.